GACGAACGCUGGCGGCGUGCCUAAUACAUGCAAGUCGAACGAGAGCGACCGGUGCUUGCACUGGUCAAUCUAGUGGCGAACGGGUGAGUAACGCGUGGGUAACCUGCCCAUCAGAGGGGGAUAACAUCCGGAAACGGAUGCUAAAACCGCAUAGGUCUUCGAGCCGCAUGGCUUGAAGAGGAAAAGAGGCGCAAGCUUCUGCUGAUGGAUGGACCCGCGGUGCAUUAGCUAGUUGGUGAGGUAACGGCUCACCAAGGCCGUGAUGCAUAGCCGACCUGAGAGGGUGAUCGGCCACAUUGGGACUGAGACACGGCCCAAACUCCUACGGGAGGCAGCAGUAGGGAAUCUUCCGCAAUGGACGCAAGUCUGACGGAGCAACGCCGCGUGAGUGAAGAAGGUUUUCGGAUCGUAAAACUCUGUUGUUAGAGAAGAACAAGUGCUAGAGUAACUGUUAGCGCCUUGACGGUAUCUAACCAGAAAGCCACGGCUAACUACGUG
Molecule: ribosomal RNA, 498 nt
Filed under: uncultured bacterium
Lineage: Bacteria
Description: partial 16S ribosomal RNA
Rfam family: Bacterial small subunit ribosomal RNA
Source: RNAcentral